AUCUAAAGCCUGAUGUCUAAGCAGAAAAUUAUUGAUAGAAAUGAAUCAAUUGUCACUGAAGCGAUUGGAAGGAACGAAUAAAUUUGACAUAAAUCCUCUGAGAAUUUCUGCUUCAGGUCCUGCAAACCUGAACUUUGAGCUGCUGCUGUAGGAGGUUUGCAGGAAGUUCAACCAACGACGGCAGAUGAGAGGUUUAAGGUUUAGGUGGACUGAUAGCUGCUUGAUAAGGAAUGCCAAAGUCAGACGGAUGUUUCCUAAGAUUGUAUGAAGGACUUAGCAGAGGCAGGUGGAGGUGAAACACCAUGAGAAACAAGGAACCCUUCCAUCGGGACAGUUUAUGAGGAAUGUCUUCAGUCCAUUCGUCUCUAAAACUUCAGAAUUUCUGUUUGGCGUCACGGGGUCGCUGAAGCCGACCCAGCUAUUGAAGGGCGAACACCGUCAUUCAGCUCUUUAAAGAGACAUAACAGUUUACCUAAGAUGCUACGUGUGCCAGAGAAGCAGCUUCCCAGACGCAGAAGACAAUGGAGCGGCAGGACGACGCACUGAAUGAGCCACAAGAACAAUCCACCAGUUAUUAUGGGACUAUUAACUUUACUGCACCAGAAGAGGAUGCAGAUUAUAUUUUUAUAUUCAAGACAAAUAAACAAGGGUUAGGAGGAGGCGGAAAAGCCUGUAUACUGGUGAGGAUGAUGUUCUGACUAAAUAUAACCCAUUGGGUACAAAGGAGCACUCGUAAAGCCUUUUUAGAUGUAAAACAGGGAAAAAUGU
Long non-coding RNA from Oryzias latipes (Japanese medaka), 768 nucleotides. RefSeq lists it as uncharacterized. The record is from RefSeq and is a predicted model, not a curated record. Lineage: Eukaryota; Metazoa; Chordata; Actinopteri; Beloniformes; Adrianichthyidae.